CCACGAUAGGUCACGAUUUCUGGAAUGGAUCAUGGCUUAAAUCUACAUGGCCCCUGGAUUGGACUGCGGCCGAUCAGGCUGUUGGUGAGGUAAUGGCCCACCAAACCUAUAACCGGUACGGGCUCUGAGAGGAGAAGCCCGGAGAUGGGCACUGAGACAAGGGCCCAGGCCCUAUGGGGCGCAGCAGGCGCGAAACCUCUGCAAUAGGCGAAAGCCUGACAGGGUUACUCUGAGUGAUUUCCGCUAAGGGGAUCUUUUGGCACCUCUAAAAAUGGUGCAGAAUAAGGGGUGGGCAAGUCUGGUGUCAGCCGCCGCGGUAAUACCAGCACCCCGAGUGGUCGGGACGAUUAUUGGGCCUAAAGCAUCCGUAGCCGGUUCUGCAAGUCUUCCGUUAAAUCCAGCCGCUCAACGGAUGGGCCGCGGAGGAUACUACAGGACUAGGAGGCGGGAGAGGCAAGCGGUACUCAGUGGGUAGGGGUAAAAUCCUUUGAUCCACUGAAGACCACCAGUGGCGAAGGCGGCUUGCCAGAACGCGCUCGACGGUGAGGGAUGAAAGCUGGGGGAGCAAACCGGAUUAGAUACCCGGGUAGUCCCAGCUGUAAACGAUGCAGACUCGGUGAUGGGCUAGCCUUGUGCCAGCCCAGUGCCGCAGGGAAGCCGUUAAGUCUGCCGCCUGGGGAGUACGGUCGCAAGACUGAAACUUAAAGGA
Molecule: ribosomal RNA, 709 nt
Filed under: uncultured Thermoprotei archaeon
Lineage: Archaea; Thermoproteati; Thermoproteota; Thermoprotei
Description: bacterial SSU rRNA
Rfam family: Archaeal small subunit ribosomal RNA
Source: RNAcentral